CCUACGUGUGGCAGCAGUGGGGCAUAUUGCACAAUGGGGGAAACCCUGAUGCAGCGACGCCGCGUGAGUGAAGAAGUAAUUCGUUAUGUAAAGCUCUAUCAGCAGGGAAGAAAAUGACGGUACCUGAGUAAGUAGCCCCGGCUAACUACGUGCCAGCAGCCGCGGUAAUACGUAGGGUGCGAGCGUUAAUCGGAAUGACUGGGGGUAAAGCGCUCGUAGGCGGUAUGACAAGUAAAGGGUGAAAUGCCCGCGCUCAACGUGGGAACUGCCUUUGAAACUGGCAAACUGGAGUGUGUGAGAGGAUAGUGGAAUUCCAGGUGUAGGAGUGAAAUCCGUAGAUAGCUGGAGGAACAUCAGUGGCGAAGGCGACUAUCUGGCACAUAACUGACGCUGAGGAGCGAAAGCGUGGGUAGCAAACAGGAUUAGAUACCCCAGUAGUC
This 440-nucleotide ribosomal RNA is filed under the name uncultured bacterium. RNAcentral describes it as "partial 16S ribosomal RNA". It matches the Rfam family "Bacterial small subunit ribosomal RNA", at positions 338 to 795 of the family's 1533-position model. The record is from RNAcentral.